ACUGGCGCCGGGUCGGUCCGGGUAGGCGCAGCGGGACUGGACCUGGGUGCCGAGCGGAGCCGCUGCCAUGGGCCUGGGCGUCAGCGCUGAGCAGCCCGCAGGCGGCGCCGAGGGCUUCCACCUCCACGGGGAUGUGGAACCAUCUUCACCUGCUGCCCUUGCCGGCCUGCGCCCCUACACAGACUAUGUGGUUGGUUCGGACCAGAUUCUCCAGGAGGCCCUGCUGCAGGCACCUGGCUCCUCCAUGGAGGAUCCCCUUCCUGGGCCUGGGAGUCCCAGCCACAGUGCUCCAGACCCUGAUGGACUUCCCCAUUUCAUGGAGACUCCUCUUCAGCCCCCACCUCCAGUGCAGCGAGUUAUGGACCCAGGUACUGGGCAGGCCCUGGAGAGGAGUGGGCCCCAGGCUUGGGGCUGGACUUUGGCAGCUAUGUCAAAACUUUCCCCAGGCCUUGCUGACCCCUCAUAUCUCAUGUAUACGAAGAUAUUUAAUAGUUGCAUAUCAUCCAAUCUAGUAUACAGAUGGGGAGUCUGUAGUCCAGAGAAGAGAGGUAGC
This 553-nucleotide small RNA is filed under the name Pan troglodytes (chimpanzee). RNAcentral's name for it is "retained intron". Lineage: Eukaryota; Metazoa; Chordata; Mammalia; Primates; Hominidae. The record is from RNAcentral.